Molecule: long non-coding RNA, 2802 nt
Filed under: Marmota monax (woodchuck)
Lineage: Eukaryota; Metazoa; Chordata; Mammalia; Rodentia; Sciuridae
Source: RNAcentral
GACGAAGCUCUGAGGUCUUGCUGCUCCUCAUCCAUCACCUAUGCCCCUAGACUGUGGGGCAGAACAUCUGUGAUUGGCACUUGGAUUGCCUGUGUCCCCAGAGCUGCUUGUGCUGGUAGCAUGAUCCCCAUGUGGCCAUGUUGAGGUGCUGCAUGAUGAAAGGCCUCAGCACAGGUAGAAGGAACACAAGGAAGACAACAGGAGCCUUCCACUUGCACAUGAUUCGAAACUCUCCGCACACUCUGGUCAUAGGUGACACUAUAAAAUCAGUCAUAUCCUUGGGUGUGUAAAUAACCCAUCUCCUGACCUGGCCUUAAGAAAAACAGAUCUGAGAAUGCUUUUGUUCAAUGAGCAGAUUGUUUUGUAAUUGAUAUUUUGAGGAUGCACUGACUUUAUCCCUGUCACAUGCUGUAAGUUGGUGACACAAAUGCAGUACUCCUUAAAUUCCCAAGCAAAACAAUAAAACCUGGGCAUCUGGGACAGUAGUAGAGAUAUUUCACCAAAAGCAAAGAAGAAAAGAAUCCCUAUAGGCAAUGACUCACACGCAAGCGGCCGGCGCACAGGAGGACUAGAAGUGCCCUGUGAGAGCGAGUGUGUCCUGCAGGUUUCACACGUACAAACCCCUUGUUCAGUGAAGCCACCGCAUCCUCUCCAGCACCAUACUGGGCCUGUCAAGAGUGUGCUCCAUCUAUGCCAGGCUCCGUGGCACACAUCCUAGCAACUCUGGAGGCUGAGGCAGGAGGAUAGCAAGUUUGAGGCCAGACUGUCUCAAAAUAAAAAAGCUGGGGUGUGGCUGCAAGGUAGAGCACCUUGGGCUCAGUCCCCAUUGCCACAAAAAUAAGUACAUAAUGAAUAUCAGUCUGUGCCUUGCUUUGUCCAUCCUUAAGUUUCUUUCUGCAAUGUUGUCUAGGACCCACAGGGCCUGAGUCAAGGUGCACCUCCCUUUAGGCAUCCUGGAGACCCUGUCCUAGGAGACACCCCAGUGGUGGAUUAAUAGGAAGCUCAGGCACUCCUGCUCUCUGGCUGGGUUAGUACUUUGAGAGCGGGUUGUUAGGGUGGACAGCCCGUGCCUCUGUCCUCUCUGCACACAGCCAGCUCCCCUUCUGUUUCUCCCUGUGUGGUGAUGGGGCCCGGGUUCUGUCUCCAGGACACCACACCCUAAAGCUUGGACCCUCCAGCAACCAGAAUCACAAGCCCACUAAAUGCCUUCUCGAAAUGCCCAGUCUCGGAUGUUUAGUUACAGCAACCAGAUGGACUAACGCAGGACCUGCCCCUUUUGCUACCCACCCUGAGCACACCCUGACACCCUCAGGGUCUCAACUGGAAGCACAAGCUCUCACAGAUGGGCAGAUGAUGGCAGAUCUUUUCACCCACUUAAAACAGUGGCUUCUUGUUGCCCUCAGAGAAGUCCCAACAGCCCCCUCUUCCCAGGCCUCUGAGCUCCCGUGGUCUGUGUUCUUCCCGUCCUGCAGGCCCACCUGAGGGCUCUGGCUGACCAUCCAGCUGCACUCCUGCUGGGCUGCUGCGUCCUCAGCCUGGAUGCCUCUCCCUCCACAGUGGACCCCACCUCACUGACCAGCUCGCAGGGCUCAGCUCUCCGUGACCCGGGGCCCCUCAGCAGCAUCAUGACCACAGAGGUCCUGCCCAGGAGUAGCCAGCCUCUGUGGUCACGGCACCUCUGUCAGGUGCCCAGGUGCAACGCGCCUCCUUCAGGUGCUGCCCACACACCUCAUGCUGUGGCCUGGGCACCUGCAGACUGCCGGCCCCCGGGGGCCUGGGGAGACCAAGGGGCUGCCUUAACCACCGGGCGAGACCGUGCAGUGGUUGCUGUGAAGGUACUUGGCAUCCUUGAAGGCCAUUUUUGUUUGCAGAAAAGACUAUCAAACACAUAUUUGUUUAAAAUAAUAAUGUUCCAUUUUUUUUUUAAUUUACAAAGUCGUAAACCUAGUUCUUGCACAGUUUUUAAGAACAGUUUGCAAAAUAUCAUUUCUAUCUAGCAGCCUGGCAAUCUGACAACGUUAAGUGUCUGACAGUCACUUUCACAGGCCCUCGUUCGGCGCUGGCUGUGUUCUCAAGCAGCUGACAAGCUCACGGUAGAGGGGGAUCUGUUGGAAGCCCUGGGACCACAGGGGCACUUGGGAAGACCAAGUCCAGUGCAGGUGAAGUUGACUCUGACUCCAUUUCUCAGCUCGGUUUAAACUGGAGUCACGAGUCUGCACUCCUACAAGCCAAAUCCUCCGCAGCAUUCAUAUAUGCCAAUUGGUUUUUGUUCCUGUUGUUGUUUGUUAGUUUUGAUGCUGGAGGCUGAACCCAGGGUUGCUUCUACCACUGAGCUGCCCCCACAGUCCUUUCAUUUUAUUUGGAGACAGGGCCUCACUAAGUUGGCCUUAAACUUGUGAUCCUCCUGCCUCAGCCUGAGUCCUGGGUACAGGAGUGUGCCACUGCAUCUGCAUACAGAGCCUUUUUAAAGGACUCCAUUCACAACUGGGGUUGUGGCAGAUGACUUUGCCUUGCUGGCGGCCACACUUGAGAAGUGGCGGAUGUACAAGGGAUCUGCUGCAGCAUUGUUCACCACAACUAGGGGCCAGAUGCCCAGCUGGGAGCCAGUCAGACCUGGGGCGUUCUUCUACAGGGCACACACAGCUCCUGCAUCAUGGAUUUUGCAUCUGAGGAUUCAACCAACUGCAAAUCAAAAUAUUUUUUAGGUGCUGGGGCCGUGGCUCAGUGGUAGCAUACUUGCCUGGCAUGUGUGAAGCAUUGGGUUCGCUUCUCAGCACUAUAUAUAAAUAAAUAAAGGUCUAU